GUGGUCCCUUGAGCAGCACAUGUACUGAAACUGCAAUGAGACAGAGAAGGUUAACACAGCCCCUGCACAUGGAUGACACAAAAAUCUAUGAAGCUUUCACAUUCUUU
Small nuclear RNA from Sorex fumeus (smoky shrew), 107 nucleotides. The record is from RefSeq and is a predicted model, not a curated record. NCBI's taxonomy places the organism in Eukaryota, Metazoa, Chordata, Mammalia, Eulipotyphla, Soricidae.